AAAUCUAAUGGCUUAACCAUUAAACUGCUUGGGAAACUGAUAGUCUAGAGUGAGGGAGAGGCAGAUGGAAUUGGUGGUGUAGGGGUAAAAUCCGUAGAUAUCACCAAGAAUUCCCAUUGCGAAGGCGAUCUGCUGGAACUCAACUGACGCUAAGGCGCGAAAGCGUGGGGAGCAAACAGGAUUAGAUACCCUGGUAGUCCACGCCCUAAACGAUGUACACUA
This 222-nucleotide ribosomal RNA is filed under the name Campylobacter jejuni. RNAcentral's name for it is "partial 16S ribosomal RNA". It matches the Rfam family "Bacterial small subunit ribosomal RNA", at positions 597 to 818 of the family's 1533-position model. Lineage: Bacteria; Pseudomonadati; Campylobacterota; Epsilonproteobacteria; Campylobacterales; Campylobacteraceae. The record is from RNAcentral.